Grammomys surdaster is the source of this 370-nucleotide long non-coding RNA. RefSeq lists it as uncharacterized. NCBI's taxonomy places the organism in Eukaryota, Metazoa, Chordata, Mammalia, Rodentia, Muridae. The transcript has 3 exons. The record is from RefSeq and is a predicted model, not a curated record.
GCGGCUGCGACUCGCAGCCUAACCCAGAGGCUAACUCGGCCCGAUUGCACCUCUGGUGCUCUGCUAUCUCUGGUCCUGGAAGAGACAAGGAUCCUAACCUGGCGUGGGUUUCUCCAUUUGACCAGGUUCUGAGGCUUGGAGAAGAGAUCCUCUCCAGAGAUUAUCCAGAUGGGUCUCAUGUAACCAAGUUGGCCUCGCACUCUCUCUAGCCGAUGAUGACCUUGGACUUCUGUCCUGUUUCCAUGUCUAGUGCUCAGGUUACGGGUAUAUAGCACUACACCUGUUUUUUCCCCCCCUUUACUAUUGUUCUUUUUACAAUUUAUUUGUAUUUAUUUUAAAAAUAAAAAUGUAUGUGUUUGUUUGAUAGGGA